This 2659-nucleotide long non-coding RNA is filed under the name Camponotus floridanus (Florida carpenter ant). Its description in RNAcentral is "uncharacterized LOC112637898, transcript variant X8". Lineage: Eukaryota; Metazoa; Arthropoda; Insecta; Hymenoptera; Formicidae. The record is from RNAcentral.
ACGCUACCUUUUAGCGACAAUGAAAUUAUCUUCCUUUAUUCCUCCAUUGUCCUCCAGACGGUCCUUUUAUGUAAUAAAUAUAAUGCUCCAUCUGUAUACGUAAUACGUCUAUGCUCCGAGAUGUAGGAAUUACCUGGUCUGAAGUACUGUCGAUCUUGUCGACGUUUGUGGUUUAAUUAAUCGAUUCAAUGAUUAUUGUAUAUAAAUCAUCGAAUAUCUUACUUAUAUUUUGAUCUGUCGAAAAAAUUAUUACAUUGACAUUAUAGAUCAAUAUAUAUAAUUGCAAAUUUAUAAUUUAAUAUUGCUAGUCAAAUGCCUAAUGUCAUAAUGUCUAAGAAUGUAUAUUAUAUAGGUACAUUGAUGUAUAUGAUAAUGUUAAAAAUUAAAAAUAAAUUGCCAUCAGUAUUAAAUAAUUAAAUAAAAAUGGAGGAGAGAGCAAUGCUAUGGAUGCUUUCUCUUGUUAUGUUUGUUGGAUCUUGUCUUGGAGCUGGAUCACUGCCAUUAAGUUAAAUAAAUUUAUCAGAAGAAGUAAGAUAUAGAAGUGAAGAAGAAUAUUUUAUGUAAUAUAAAAUUAUGACAAGUUACAAUUAGUUUCAAUAUUAGGAGCAGGACUCCUUGUUGGUACUGCGCUAGCGAUUAUACCUGACUGUACCUGAGGGUGUAAGAGCAUUAUUUACUGUGGAUGGUAUUAAAUAAUGAAAAAGGCAAUUUACAUACUUUAACUUGGAAUUAGUUUAGUACUUGGUUUAUGCUUUUAAUUGAUCAAUGUUCAGCCAGAAAAAGUGGAGGAAGACAAGAAAAGUAUUACAGCAACUUUAGGUCUUAUAGUAGAUGCUGCUAGUUGAUUGGCGGUGUUGCAUUGGGAGCUGCUGCUACUACAUCUCAAGCUGAUGUCGAAGUGUCUUAGUUUUUCUUCGCAAUAAUGUUACACAAGGCGCCAGAUGCAUUUGGACUUGUGUCAAUUUCUUCUUCAUGAAGGUGUAGAUAGAAAGUAAGAAAAUAAGCAGACACUUAUUAAUUUUCUCUCUUGCGGCACCGUGUCUUGCACUUGUGACAUAUUUUGGAAUUGGAAAAGUAAUGUGAGUGAGUAAUAGUAUAUGGAAUGUAUCGCAAGAUGUGUACACAUACAGUUACACCCCAUAUGCGCACUAUACUUGUUUCUUUUGCUGUAUACAUAUGCGUAUUGUUUAAUAGAAACAUUUAUUAUCUGAAAGGAAAAAAUGUUCCUGCUGAUGCACAAAAGCGUAACGUCAUAUACUGAUAUAUCUAAACACUUAUGAUACUUGCCCUACAGAAUGACAUAAUUUAGAUAAAGGAAAAUACUUAAAUAAAGUGUUAUGCUUGCAGAUAUCCAAACUGUCGAAACGCAAUCUCUGCAAUAUACAAUUGUUGUAUGCAUAUAUGUAUGCAAAACAUAUAAUGGUGCGAGUUGGGAAAAAAAUGCUUUACGAUUUAGAACAGAUACAUUAGAAGCAAUUGUACUAAGCAUUUAACGAAUAAAAUUCAUUUAUAUAUUAUUUAUUUGCCCAAUAUUUCUGUUAUUAAAUUACGUAAUUUUUCCUUAACAGACACCUAUUGUAAUGAAAUAACAUACAGUGCACAAGAUAGUUAAUCAAUAUAUAUUAUAGAGAAACAAUAGAAAAUCCGGGACAUUCAGGACUGCCGCGCAAGACUGCACGCGCCAAUCAGGCGCGAGAACGGACGCGGACGCGCGAAGACUCCCAAUCAGGAGCGAGGACUGCCGUGCGUGCGCGAAGACGUCCAAUCAGGCGCGAGAACUGCCGCGCACGCCGCCAAGACUCCCAAUCAGGCGCGAGGACUGCCGCGGACGCGCGAAGACUGCCAAUCAGGAGCGAGGACUGCCGCGCACGCCGCCAUAGACUCCCAAUCAGGCGCGAGGACUGCCGAACAUGCGCGAAAUUGCAAAUUUAAAGGACAAGUUACAAUUAGUUUCAAUAUUAGGAGCAGGACUCCUUGUUGGUACUGCGCUAGCGAUUAUACCUGACUGUACCUGAGGGUGUAAGAGCAUUAUUUACUGUGGAUGGUAUUAAAUAAUGAAAAAGGCAAUUUACAUACUUUAACUUGGAAUUAGUUUAGUACUUGGUUUAUGCUUUUAAUUGAUCAAUGUUCAGCCAGAAAAAGUGGAGGAAGACAAGAAAAGUAUUACAGCAACUUUAGGUCUUAUAGUAGAUGCUGCUAGUUGAUUGGCGGUGUUGCAUUGGGAGGCUGCUGCUACUACAUCUCAAGCUGAUGUCGAAGUGUCUUAGUUUUUCUUCGCAAUAAUGUUACACAAGGCGCCAGAUGCAUUUGGACUUGUGUCAAUUUCUUCUUCAUGAAGGUGUAGAUAGAAAGUAAGAAAAUAAGCAGACACUUAUUAAUUUUCUCUCUUGCGGCACCGUGUCUUGCACUUGUGACAUAUUUUGGAAUUGGAAAAGUAAUGUGAGACAUUCAGGACUGCCGCGCAAGACUGCACGCGCCAAUCAGGCGCGAGAACGGACGCGGACGCGCGAAGACUCCCAAUCAGGAGCGAGGACUGCCGUGCGUGCGCGAAGACGUCCAAUCAGGCGCGAGAACUGCCGCGCACGCCGCCAAGACUCCCAAUCAGGCGCGAGGACUGCCGCGGACGCGCGAAGACUGCCAAUCAGGAGCGAGGACUGCC